AGCUCUUACUGUUCAUGUGCGUGAAGAUACGUG
This 33-nucleotide ribosomal RNA is filed under the name Triadica cochinchinensis. RNAcentral's name for it is "partial 18S ribosomal RNA". Lineage: Eukaryota; Viridiplantae; Streptophyta; Magnoliopsida; Malpighiales; Euphorbiaceae. The record is from RNAcentral.